Molecule: ribosomal RNA, 254 nt
Filed under: uncultured bacterium
Lineage: Bacteria
Description: partial 16S ribosomal RNA
Rfam family: Bacterial small subunit ribosomal RNA
Source: RNAcentral
GACGAACCGUGCGAACGUUAUUCGGAAUCACUGGGCUUAAAGCGCGUGUAGGCGGGAAGGCACGUCGGUCGCUGAAAUCCCCCGGCUCAACCGGGGAAGUGGCGCCGAUACGACCUUCCUGGAGGGACGUAGGGGGACCUGGAACUUCCGGUGGAGCGGUGAAAUGCGUAGAUAUCAUUUGGAACGCCAAUGGUGAAAACAACUCGCUGGGGGUGUGCUGACGCUGAGACACGAAAGCCAGGGGAGCGAACGGG